This 1482-nucleotide long non-coding RNA is filed under the name Mus spicilegus (steppe mouse). Its description in RNAcentral is "lncRNA (ENSMSIG00000018833.1)". The record is from RNAcentral. Lineage: Eukaryota; Metazoa; Chordata; Mammalia; Rodentia; Muridae.
UACAGAUUUCUCCCAGGGGAUACAGAGAACAUAUGAUUCAUCAACUGACAGGUAAAAAAAGAAGACACCACAGCGGAGACGCCAUCUUGACUGAAGGGAAAGACUAUUGCAGGCACUACUAAUCUACUCCUGUACUACAGGAUUCAGGACACCUUGGUGGUAUUUCCAGCUCUUCCUUCUGACUCCUACUCUGCUUCACUUGCAUCAGACCAUAGGAUGCCUUUCCUAGCAAGUGUUUUUGAGCAAGCAAAGGAUACUCAGGAUAAAGUUUGGCAUGUUUUACUGUUUUCCUUCUGAACAAUCUGCUUAUCAUUGGGAUGACAAAACUGUGCGGACAAAUGACUAAGAACCAGAAGCUUGUGUUUCCACAGAGCAAAACUGAAAACAAAAACUACCUCUACUUUGGCUUAGAUAUGAAGAGGAUUACGGCACUUUUUAAAUAUAUAACUCAUAAGAUCUUGGGCUUUUUCUCACUUGACUGAGGUAUGGAAACCGAGGCUGAAGAUAAAAUGUGAAUCCUUAUGUAAGUGUUGCAGGGUUCAAGUACCAGAAAGUACACUUAAGCCUGUCAUCAUCUCCAUCACCAACCUGCAGCGAUGUCUCUGCCCACUGGACUAACUUACAGACACCUGCUACUUCUCACACUCAGCUUCAGCCUUUUGACCUCACUUCUCACGCUAGUUACUGCAGUCCACUUUUAAGGUCUACAUCAUAGUCAAAUUUCCCUCUUAAAAUUGAUUCAUCUGUCUUGGAUUUCUCUACUAUGAAACUGACACUAAUCUUCCCCUUGGAUCUCCCACUCCACCUCAGUCCUUCUCAAGGAAGUUACAAGUGGCUGUUGCUUUGCCAAAUCCAAAGAUGAUUCAAAUCAUCGUGCUCAAGGUAACAUUUGACUCAGCUCACCUGUCCCCUGUUGCAGUAACAUCUUCCGGUGACUGCUAGAAGACCCACAGCAAUGGUGGCUUUUCAUUAGCCCAGCAGCUGGCUUUUUUAGCUCCUGAGGUCACUUAAUAUCAGUUCCUUAAACAUUUCCAAGUUCCAAAAUUCUCCCCUCAAUCUAGUGUGCAGCACCUUCCACUGGAAACCCCAUUCAACCAUGGCAUUAAAUACUUUGAUGGGGCUUGUAAUUCCAAAUGUGAAAUCCCUCCCCUGAACUGCAGGCCUUUAUAUCCUUUGUUGUCUCUUCUCAUUUGUAGAAUCUUUGCUUAGAUGACUAAGCGUCUGACUUAAUUCACCAAAAUUCUACCUCCUAUUGUAAACCGGAAACUUGAGCCACUUGUUCAUCCCCUCUGAGGAGAUGGCAGGUUCAGUCACACUGUUGUGAACACUCAGUUAUCCUUGAAUUCUCUUAUCUCACUCCUCACAUCCACUCCAUCACCAAGUUCUUUUGGGUCUACCUUGGAGGACUGUCAAGAGUCUGGCCACUCUCUUCACUGCCACCAUGCUGUGUCUAGGUAUUAUCAUAACACUCUUGGUUUAUCA